Molecule: long non-coding RNA, 271 nt
Filed under: Vitis vinifera (wine grape)
Lineage: Eukaryota; Viridiplantae; Streptophyta; Magnoliopsida; Vitales; Vitaceae
Description: long non-coding RNA (VVIN_LNC003265)
Source: RNAcentral
AGGGUUUCUAGGUCUUAUCAUUCUCUCUUUUCAGUCUAGAGAGAAAAUCCUAGCUUUCACCCUUGAGAUCUCAACCAUCUUAGUGCUUAGACACAAGGAAGAGUCAUCGGGUGGGUGUACGAGAAACGCACUAGAAUCAUACAAGUCGCAUGCACGAGAACUAUACAGGAUGCACACAGGUUGCAUGCAUGGGAAUCGCACACGAUGUGCACAGGAAUUGUACGAGACACACACGUGAGUAGCAACAUGAGGAGAAAUUCUCCUUUUUUUU